RNAcentral lists this long non-coding RNA (683 nucleotides) under Gossypium barbadense (sea-island cotton). RNAcentral describes it as "long non-coding RNA (GBAR_LNC021001)". Lineage: Eukaryota; Viridiplantae; Streptophyta; Magnoliopsida; Malvales; Malvaceae. The record is from RNAcentral.
UCAGCUCUUCAUUGAUGUGCCCGAAUAACCUUGUUGAUAUGUCCAUUGAUGUGUACGAACAACCUUGAAGAUAUGUCUUUUGAUGUGCACGAGUAGCCUUUGAUAGUUGCCUUAAUGCUUGAGCUGAAUGAAGCAUGAUUCAGUUAGUGUAGUUAAAGCUUGAAUUAAAGCUUCCUUGAAGAUGUCGUAUGCAUGUAUAGCAAAUGAAUGGGAAAUGGAGCACCCGAAUGGUCAUUAGUGUGAACAAUCGGUUAUGAAGAGACUUUGAGUGUGAACAGCAAGCACUGAAUUGUCACUUGGGUGUUGACUGAUCAGCUCACAAUUGUUGGUUCUUUGAUUCAUGAAAAGUCAGCUGAAUGAUGCACCUAGCUUCUCCCAAGAUUCAUGCACAAUCGGGUGCAUUGCUCUUCAUUAAAUAACUUCAAUGUAUCAGCAAGAUACAUGAAUGCAUAUCCAGCCGCAUAAAUGAAUGUCCAGCCACCUAUUUAAGCAACCUGUUAAGACACAUUAAACACUUGGUUAAAGCAUCAACAAGACAAAAUAAACACACAAAUAAAUAUGUAAUGGACUAAGACACAUUUAAGAAAUUUGACUUGCUAGCAUAUGUCAAAUCUGUCCGAAAUUGAACAUACUUAAUGGUCAAACAAUACAUUAUUUUAAUUUGUAAUAUACUAAGACAAAAC